This is a long non-coding RNA of Homo sapiens (human), 979 nucleotides long. Ensembl annotates it as long intergenic non-protein coding RNA 885. The record is from Ensembl. NCBI's taxonomy places the organism in Eukaryota, Metazoa, Chordata, Mammalia, Primates, Hominidae.
GAUUCCUCCACCCAGAAGCCCUUAAAAUGCAGCUUUGUUUUAAGCCUUCUUGAAGAUUUGGGCUAGAUCUAGAAAAGAACCUCACCACGGAGGAUGUGCAAAGUACAACACGUGACCCCGGAGACGGAAGCUCUUCUCUACCUCCGUAAAGAUGAUCUCUGAUGAACAGACAUGAUCAUGCCUGGAGAACAGGGAUGGACAGUCCCGCUUCUGAAAGACCCUGUCUGGCUGAUGAUUCAUGGUGCGCCGGGCAGACCCCAGGCCAAGAGACCCCACCCACAGUACCUGAGUGCUCAGCUGGGAACCAGACCAGACCUCAAAACAGACCAGCCCCCCAGCAUUGACCUGGAUGCCUGCCACAGCCUCCUCCCUGGUCUCCGGCCUCCCACCUCUGCUCCUCGGUCUCCUCUACCCAGCCAGUAACUGCAGAGAGCACUAAAGCACAGUCCUGGCAUCUCACCCCCUUAACCCUGGCCACGGCUUCCCAGUGCCUCCAAGAUAAAGCACCAACACCUGAGGACAGCAGUUCGCUGGACUCCACGCUGAACGUGCCAUGCUCCAUUGCCCCGUGAGUAACUCCAUGCUCUUGCCGGUUUCACACGGCCUCUCAGAGCUGGAGCCUUUGUUCAGGAGCCCUGGGCAGCUUUCAGGAAGCUCUUGGGCUCAUCAGCUUCCUCUGGCUGAAGCCGCCCCAGUGGAAUCAUGGGGAUUUCUUACUUUGAAGGUGGGGCCACCCGCAGACUGUAACCGGCUGGUUCAAGAUCAAGGACUUCCCCAGGCCACCUGCCUCAGAGGCAAGAAAGGCUCAGCUGAGUCCCAGACACUCCUCGCUGUGGCCCCUCCUUCCUCCCUGCUGGGCAGGCCCCCCUCAAUUCUGUUUGCCAGCAGGGCCUAGUAACACUGAAAGACGAAAAGGGAAAUAAAAUAAACACAAUUAAUAGGCUAAAGGUUACUGAAUAAAGUGGCAGCAGUAAAUAAA